RNAcentral lists this non-coding RNA (30 nucleotides) under Mus musculus (house mouse). The record is from RNAcentral. Lineage: Eukaryota; Metazoa; Chordata; Mammalia; Rodentia; Muridae.
UGCUCCUUCACUGGUGAUGAUGGAAUCUGU